AGAAAAUCCUGGGAAAUUUCCUCUUGGCCCUUUUACGUGCCAUGGGCCUUUAAUCCUAGGCAAGAGGCUCUAAUAAUAGAAACUAGGAGACCUAAAAAUUGCUUGCACGAUGUAGGCGUGUUUGAUUGCUUGGUAUGGAACAGAGUGAAAUUGCUGGGCAUAUGUGUUGACACUUGAUAAGAAACACAGAUUCCCAGGUCACCUCAUAGACAGGGCUGCACUGGGCCUCCUGCCUAGGCCUGUUCGAUGAAGCACCAACAAGCCCCACAGCUUUGUUGCUUUUGCUAUGCCCACUGGGACCAGUGAGAGAAGUGCGGUCUUAUCCCUGGGAGGAGAGAAAGAGCCAGCAUCUGCAGGCGCCCACAGGAUGUCAAGGUCACAUGGAAUGAUGGUGAUCGAUAUAGACGUGAUCUCAGAGUUCACUCCCUCAUCAUACAGUGGAGGAAACGAGGCCCAGGGAGGGGCGGAACAUUUUUCCAAGUCAUACAGCAAGAACUCAGAGGCCUCUUGGUUCCUGCUCUUGCCUUGAGGUGGUUCUGCGGGGCGCUCCAGAGCCCCCAAGAAAUUCUUCUGAAAUUCAGUUCUCCACAGGACACCUGGGCUCCUCCUCUGUCCUCCCAGCCCCUCACAGAGGAGUAGUUUCCCUUCUGGCCUGCCUAAGUCUGUCUUGUCUUCUGGACUUCAGUGGCCACCAUGGACCUCCCAAGCUUUCUCUUGGGCUCUUCCAGUGCCGACCUCAGCUUGGCUGCCUCACACUCUGUCUGGUGGGCACUUACAGGAGCCAUGUCCACAGACCACCUCGCCUGGGCUGUGGAGGCCCCGUUCUGAGACCACGUGCAGUCCAAAAAAGGAAGCUAAAAGGGGUCAGAGGAAAACAUCCCCGUGUAGGGUGAGGGUGAAUCUCAGUCUCCCUGUCAACUCUCUUUAUCCUGACAUCCAGAAUUCCAGACCUUUGUGGGCACUGAUCCCUGAGACUGGGCUCUUUAAGCUCUUUCACUGAUCCCUGGGGUCCGAAACUUUCAGCUUGCACUUUGGUUUGGUAAACCACUGACUGUCCUACCAAACGCCCCCGCACCCCACAAACUCAACCUGUGCUCUUCAUGUGCUAUCUCCUGUUCGAUCCCCACACUGACCUUCUGGGUUAGGGACUUGCAUGUCCCCAUUUUAUAGAUGAGGAGCCUGAGGCCCAGAGAGGCUGGAGUGCAAUGGUAUGAUCUUGGCUCACUGCAACCUCCGCCUCCUGGAUUCAAGCAAUUCUCCUGCCUCAGCUUCCCAAAUAGAUUCCAGACAUUGUAUGGAAAAGCAUCGUGAAAAUCCCUGGCCUGUUCUGCUCUGUUCUGAUUACCGGUGCGUGCAGCCCGCAGUCACGUACCCGCUGGUUGCUCAAUCGAUCACGACCCUCUCACACGGACCCCCUUAGAGCUGUAAGCCCUUAAAAGGGACAGGAAUUGCUCGCUCGGGGAGCUCGGUUUUUGGAGACGUGAGUCCGCCGGUGCUCCCAGCUGAAUAAAGCCCUUUCCUUCCACAACUCGGUUUCUGAGGGGUUCUUUUCUGC
This 1555-nucleotide long non-coding RNA is filed under the name Homo sapiens (human). RNAcentral describes it as "HSALNT0239587". The record is from RNAcentral. Lineage: Eukaryota; Metazoa; Chordata; Mammalia; Primates; Hominidae.